This 428-nucleotide ribosomal RNA is filed under the name uncultured bacterium. RNAcentral describes it as "bacterial SSU rRNA". It matches the Rfam family "Bacterial small subunit ribosomal RNA", at positions 98 to 512 of the family's 1533-position model. The record is from RNAcentral.
GCAAACGGGUGAGUAAUGCUUCGGAAUCUGCCCAAUGGUGGGGAAUAACCAGCCGAAAGGUUGGCUAAUACCGCAUAAGCCCUAUGGGGGAAAGCGGGGGAUCGCAGACCUCGCGCCGAUGAUGAGCCGAAUCGGAUAGCUAGUUGUAGGGUAUCGGCUACCAAGGCGACGAGUCCGUAGCUGGUCUGAGAGACGACAGCCACCUUUGGGCACUGGAGCCACGGGUACAACUCAAACGGGAGGCGCAGUGUGGGAAUAUUGGACAAUGGGGGAAACCCUGAUCCAGCGGACGCCGCUGUGUGUGAACGAAGGCCUGCGGGUUGUAAAGCACUUGUCUAGUGGGGAUCGCAAAAUGCUCGAGGGCUAACACCUCUGGGUCUUGACCUAUAUCCCGACAGAAUAAAGCACCGGCUAAGCUCUGUGCCAGC